CAGCAGCCGCGGUAAUACGGAGGGGGCUAGCGUUGUUCGGAAUUACUGGGCGUAAAGCGCACGUAGGCGGCUUGGUAAGUUAGAGGUGAAAGCCCGGAGCUCAACUCCGGAAUUGCCUUUAAGACUGCCGAGCUAGCAGGUGAGAGAGGUAAGUGGAAUUCCGAGUGUAGAGGUGAAAUUCGUAGAUAUUCGGAAGAACACCAGUGGCGAAGGCGGCUUACUGGCUCAUACUGGACGCUGAGGUGCGAAAGCGUGGGGAGCAAACAGGAUUAGAUACCCCAGUAGUCCCUGUCUCUUAUAC
RNAcentral lists this ribosomal RNA (301 nucleotides) under uncultured bacterium. RNAcentral's name for it is "partial 16S ribosomal RNA". It matches the Rfam family "Bacterial small subunit ribosomal RNA", at positions 509 to 807 of the family's 1533-position model. The record is from RNAcentral.